Molecule: small nuclear RNA, 107 nt
Filed under: Physeter macrocephalus (sperm whale)
Lineage: Eukaryota; Metazoa; Chordata; Mammalia; Artiodactyla; Physeteridae
Source: RNAcentral
GUGCUCUCUUUGGCAGCACAUAUACUAAAAUAGGAAGGAUACAGAGAAGAUUAGCAUGGCCCUCGCGCAAGGAUGACACGCAAAUUCUUGAAGCGUUCCAUAUUCAA